CCUACGGGAGGCAGCAGUGGGGGAUAUUGCACAAUGGGGGAAACCCUGAUGCAGCGAUGCCGCGUGAAUGAAGACGGCCUUCGGGUUGUAAAGUUCUGUCGCAGGGGACGAAAAUGACGGUACCCUGCAAGAAAGCUCCGGCUAACUACGUGCCAGCAGCCGCGGUAAUACGUAGGGAGCGAGCGUUGUCCGGAAUUACUGGGUGUAAAGGGAGCGUAGACGGUUAAGUAAGUCUGGAGUGAAAGGCCCGGGCCCAACCCCGGGACUGCUCUGGAAACUAUUGAACUUGAGUGCAGGAGAGGUAAGCGGAAUUCCUAGUGUAGCGGUGAAAUGCGUAGAUAUUAGGAGGAACACCAGUGGCGAAGGCGGCUUACUGGACUGUAACUGACGUUGAGGCUCGAAAGCGUGGGGAGCAAACAGGAUUAGAUACCCGAGUAGUC
This 440-nucleotide ribosomal RNA is filed under the name uncultured bacterium. RNAcentral's name for it is "partial 16S ribosomal RNA". It matches the Rfam family "Bacterial small subunit ribosomal RNA", at positions 338 to 795 of the family's 1533-position model. The record is from RNAcentral.